RNAcentral lists this ribosomal RNA (530 nucleotides) under uncultured bacterium. Its description in RNAcentral is "bacterial SSU rRNA". It matches the Rfam family "Bacterial small subunit ribosomal RNA", at positions 1 to 527 of the family's 1533-position model. The record is from RNAcentral.
AGGGGGGUUUGCAUCAUGGGCUCAGAAUCAACGCUGGCGGCGUGCCUAACACAUGCAAGUCGAACGAGAAAGGGCACCUUCGGGAGCCUGAGUAAAGUGGCGAACGGGUGAGUAACACGUGGGUGACCUGCCCUCUGGAGGGGGAUAACCCGGGGAAACCCGGGCUAAGACCGCAUAAGCCUUUGAGGUCAAACUCAAAUGGAAAAGGGUCCAGCUUUCGAGCUUGAUCCUGCCGGAGGAGGGGCCCGCGUCCCAUUAGCUUGUUGGUGGGGUAAAAGCCUACCAAGGCUACGAUGGGUAGCCGGUCUGAGAGGACGGACGGCCACACUGGAACUGAGACACGGUCCAGACUCCUACGGGAGGCAGCAGUGGGGAAUUUUGGGCAAUGGGCGAAAGCCUGACCCAGCAACGCCGCGUUGGAGGAAGAAGGCCUUCGGGUCGUAAACUCCUGUCCUAGGGGAAGAAAAAAAUGACGGUACCCUUGGAGGAAGCCCCGGCUUAACUCCGUGCCAGCAGCCGCGGUUAAGACG